UGGGAUAUAACUCAUACAGAAUAUCUUUGCCCUGUCUUCAAGCUAAUUUAGGUUUGGUUUUGCAACAGCAGCAUGCAAUGCUGCAUUUGGAUUACCAUCACAAAUUUCUGGCUAGUUUUCACAGCAAUUUUAAACUUGUUUUGUCACACAAACACAAUAUUGCAGCUUAGGAAAAUGUGCUGUAUUAGGUGCCUGGCCACAGACUCUGUCCCAGGGCUGGUGCAUGACAAAUGAAUAUUGCUCAAUCUUCUCCUGCUGCUGGACUCACCCAGCAGUCUAUUCUUAGGGUAGUUCUGUAGCCACUGUGAUAAAUGCUUCAUGCAGUCAGCGUUCACGUCAAAAGCCUGUACAAAUAGUGAAUAUUGUGCAAAAAUACUCUGAAAUAUGAUCCAAUACAUGACUGAAUUUUCUUCCUGUUUCCAGAAAUGAACUACCACUAUGAGGAGAAAAAGAUGCCAGUGCAGCAGAAGGCCUGACUCAGGGGAUUAUUCUGUGGGAGCUUGUUCCCUUACUGCUAGGCAGCUGACUGAGGUGCCUAAGCCAGGAAGCCAGGCAUUCUCAGACUUGCACUGUUAUAAGAGCGAGCCAUGCCCUCUGCAGGGUGAUUCUGUUCAUCUGAGAUUAAACAUAAUGAAAGAACACAAAGAGGCAUCAUCAUCUCUGAUUAUGAGGGAACCUGAAUAAACCUGUGGUCCCCAGCUGGGCGCCUGAGCUGCAAGUAGCAACUGAUUCAGUGUCACAUACGAGAUCCAUGGCUAUUGUGCUCCUCUCUGUUCCUGCAUGAGAGAUCAUCAACAUGAAACUAAAAUGCUUUGGAGAAUGAGGGUAUGCCAAGAAACACUAGAGCCAGAAGAAAAUGAUCAAGAAAUACCAGAGGAAAAUGCCACUCAAAUUUAGCCGAAAAUAUUGUAAAUUCUGAAUUGUACUACCCAGUGAAAGAAUUCAGUCACAUCCAUGUUCACUGAAUCCUUCUCUCUCUUUGCAAAAAAUAAAAAUAAAAAUAAAAAUAAAAAAUAAAAUCA
Anas platyrhynchos (mallard) is the source of this 1022-nucleotide non-coding RNA. NCBI's taxonomy places the organism in Eukaryota, Metazoa, Chordata, Aves, Anseriformes, Anatidae. The record is from RefSeq and is a predicted model, not a curated record.